CUUGAUUUCACUAACAACAUGUUUGGUUGGGGGGAAUAGGAAUGCAUUCCCCCCAAUUCGGUGAGCCCACCACCAAACUAACGUUUGGUUGGCUGUAAUACCAUUACAGCCUGAAUCCAUUCAGGCCCUAUUACAUGAAAAGGCUGUAAUAAUCAUUCCUUGCCUUUAAAUCUGAUUAGCUAUUCCAUCCGCCUGUUCCGAUUUUCCUUUUCCCAUUUUCUAAUUUUUGCCCUCAGCUUCAUCUUCUCCUUCUGUAACUUUCUUUCCAACCAUCUUUACGUUUCCCUUUUCUUCCAUUGAUUGCAGAGGAGACCUAGAUAUUUCAGGUAAUUUAUUUUUUCCUUCUUUAUGAUUUUUCCUUCUUUAUGAUUUCCAUUUCAACCCUAUUUUACCCUCCCAAUCCAAAAGCAUACUAUGCAAACGGAAACUGCCAGGAAAGUCAAGGCUCCACCCGCUCCUGAUUAUUCACUUUCAUCUUCGCAUCUUUCGCCGGCUCCACCGUCUCAAAUCUCCAGCCCAACUAUUUCGCUCACUCUCUUAUUGGACUGAUCGAAGUCCAAGUGCUUCUUCACUUUAUCGGUGCCUAUUUUCAGGACUGGAGUACCACCUGUUCAGAGGAGGGCUAAGAAUGGAGGUUUUGCAGCAAAGCCAAUCCAGCACCAGCCGCAACAGCAACAAGAAGGGAAUGUAGUUACAAAGCAAAGGCCUCAUACACUGGAUUCGUUGUUUGCCGAUAUGAAAAAAGAGCGAAUGAAUGGUCCUGCACAAUGUAACGGCAGCAGUCGACAAAAAAUGCCAUGGAGAAGAGGCCGAUUUGGCAACUGAUGGUGUUGUGAGACGUAGUAUUCCCUCUGCUGCUGGACAAGCUAUCUCGUCUUUUUUGGGCAAUAUAGAUGCUUGUUUUUCUUACUUUCGCCAUCAAAAUAAUGCGAGCAUUUUACGUGAGAAAGUGACAGUUCAGUUGUAUAGUGAUUUUCCUUCGUUUUCUAUUGGCUCGUGGACUGUACCCCUUGAGAAUUGAUACAAAUAGGGUUGUUCAUUUUUUUAAUUCAGUUAAAUUUAACCUA
Long non-coding RNA from Gossypium raimondii (Peruvian cotton), 1067 nucleotides. RefSeq lists it as uncharacterized. The transcript has 3 exons. NCBI's taxonomy places the organism in Eukaryota, Viridiplantae, Streptophyta, Magnoliopsida, Malvales, Malvaceae. The record is from RefSeq and is a predicted model, not a curated record.